GUGAAGGACUUCCCUUGCUGUGUAGGAAUGGUUCCCAUGCAAGGGCAUGGUCGUCUGCCUGGAACAGAUACUGAAGGCAGGAGACGGGCAGCGGUACUGCAGCUCCUCUGGCAGUUUUGCAGCUACGUCAGGAAGCAGAAGAUGUGGAUUGG
This is a non-coding RNA of Phasianus colchicus (ring-necked pheasant), 152 nucleotides long. The record is from RefSeq and is a predicted model, not a curated record. NCBI's taxonomy places the organism in Eukaryota, Metazoa, Chordata, Aves, Galliformes, Phasianidae.